Molecule: long non-coding RNA, 637 nt
Organism: Herpailurus yagouaroundi (jaguarundi)
Lineage: Eukaryota; Metazoa; Chordata; Mammalia; Carnivora; Felidae
Exons: 3
Source: RefSeq, a predicted model, not a curated record
CCGGUCUGAAAGAAGGAGAAAAGGGCCAUCAUUGGAGGGGCUUUCACAGCCAAAACGUGGACCAGCCCGGCAAGGUCAAAGGUUCGAGACCGCGGGAGACCAAGGUCUCCAGAUGGCUGAAACAUGAAUUGAAACAUCCUGGUUUUCUUGGGAAUAAACAAUCUCUGCUUAAGUCAGAAGUGAAAAGUUAUGAUUUUCCACAUAUUUGGAUCAGACUCAUGCUAUUCCAUAAAUGCAAAUAAUCAGCUUGGAAGAAGAGGGACUCUUAAAAAACAUUAGGGAUUUGAACACUAUAACCUGCCAUACAAAAGGCGAAGGAGAGUUCUUCCAUGUAAGAAUUUCAAGACUGGAACAAAGUCAUAUUUUCUAAAUGUUUAAGGAACUAGAUUUCCAGGCCUUUCAAACAAUGGGAAUCCCUAGAUAAAUAUCUAAUCCAUUAGAAAGAUGCAAAUAGUUUACUGUAAGGCCACUGCACGGUGAGAUGUGCAUUCAUAUCUAUGGCUCCUGAUUGGCUAUUUCCUUCAGUAAAUCAAUGAAUAAUGUAAAACCUGAUUGCUGUAAAGUGGUGGAUUUUUUUAUUCCCUUCCCCCAUUCCUUCAUGACUCAAUAUAUUAAAGAAGUCUUACUCUCUCGAAAA